Molecule: ribosomal RNA, 537 nt
Filed under: uncultured bacterium
Lineage: Bacteria
Description: bacterial SSU rRNA
Rfam family: Bacterial small subunit ribosomal RNA
Source: RNAcentral
AAUAGAUACCCUGGUAGUCCACGCUGUAAACGGUGGGUACUAGGUGUGGGGUCCAUUCCACGGGUUCCGUGCCGUAGCUAACGCUUUAAGUACCCCGCCUGGGGAGUACGGCCGCAAGGCUAAAACUCAAAGGAAUUGACGGGGCCCCGCACAAGCGGCGAAGCAUGCGGAUUAAUUCGAUGCAACGCGUAGAACCUUACCUGGGUUUGACAUGGAUCGGGAGCGCUCAGAGAUGGGUGUGCCUCUUUUGGGGUCGGUUCACAGGUGGUGCAUGGCUGUCGUCAGCUCGUGUCGUGAGAUGUUGGGUUAAGUCCCGCAACGAGCGCAACCCUUGUUCACUGUUGCCAGCACGUUAUGGUGGGGACUCAGUGGAGACCGCCGGGGUCAACCCGGAGGAAGGUGGGGAUGACGGUCAAGUCAGUCAUGCCCCUUAUGUCCAGGGCUUCACGCAUGCUACAAUGGCUGGUACAGAGAGUGGCGAGCCUGUGAGGGUGAGCGAAUCUCGGAAAGCCGGUCUCAGUUCGGAUUGGGGUCUGC